RNAcentral lists this ribosomal RNA (253 nucleotides) under uncultured bacterium. RNAcentral describes it as "partial 16S ribosomal RNA". It matches the Rfam family "Bacterial small subunit ribosomal RNA", at positions 524 to 776 of the family's 1533-position model. The record is from RNAcentral.
UACGGAGGGUGCGAGCGUUGUUCGGAAUCACUGGGCGUAAAGCGUGUGCAGGCGGUCUGUUAAGACAGGUGUGAAAUCCCCGGGCUUAACCUGGGAAUGGCGCUUGUUACUGGCAGACUAGAGUGCGUCAGAGGGGGGUGGAAUUCCACGUGUAGCAGUGAAAUGCGUAGAGAUGUGGAGGAACACCGAUGGCGAAGGCAGCCCCCUGGGAUGACACUGACGCUCAUACACGAAAGCGUGGGGAGCAAACAGG